Long non-coding RNA from Rhea pennata, 512 nucleotides. RefSeq lists it as uncharacterized. The record is from RefSeq and is a predicted model, not a curated record. Lineage: Eukaryota; Metazoa; Chordata; Aves; Rheiformes; Rheidae. The transcript has 4 exons.
AGGGCAAAUCAGCUGGCGUGCUGUGUUCCGAAGUCAGUCUCCUUGAGUCUCAGGUCUUUGCCAGGAAGCACCACAAGUUCUCCCUAUAUACUAGUCUUCAGUUAUGCUCAGGUUGAUGCCUUGCAGGGCUACAACGCAGGUGCUCUUAAUAAGAGAUCUUCCUCUUGAAUGGAAAUGGAUGAGCUGACAACCCAUCAUUUUAUAUGAAAAUUUCUCCAUCAGUGGCUUAUUUAGUCGAGCAAAUAUCAGCUAAUACUCCAAAAGGGAAAACUACAGAUUUAAGAAAUACUUGUGGAUUGUUCUCCCUUCUGAAGAAGUAGCCUUCGCAUAAUAGUUGUCUUUGAGUGGGCAUUUACGGCUGCAAUGAGAUCUUUAGGUAAUUACUACCAAAGCAGUUGAAGAAAAAAAAGUUACCUGAACAGCAAAUGUUUUAUCCCCAAAUCCAGGAGUCAUUCCCAAUAUACUCAUGUAUGAUGCUUCAUUGAUGAAGUUUUCAAUUCCAUGGAAGAGAC